UACGUAGGGGGCUAGCGUUGUCCGGAAUCAUUGGGCGUAAAGAGCGUGUAGGCGGCCCGGUAAGUCCGCUGUGAAAGUCGGGGGCUCAACCCUCGAAUGCUGGUGGAUACUGUCGGGCUAGAGUGCGGAAGAGGCGAGUGGAAUUCCUGGUGUAGCGGUGAAAUGCGCAGAUAUCAGGAGGAACACCAAUUGCGAAGGCAGCUCGCUGGGACGUAACUGACGCUGAGACGCGAAAGCGUGGGGAGCAAACAGG
RNAcentral lists this ribosomal RNA (253 nucleotides) under uncultured bacterium. RNAcentral's name for it is "partial 16S ribosomal RNA". It matches the Rfam family "Bacterial small subunit ribosomal RNA", at positions 524 to 776 of the family's 1533-position model. The record is from RNAcentral.